RNAcentral lists this unclassified non-coding RNA (301 nucleotides) under Hevea brasiliensis (rubber tree). Lineage: Eukaryota; Viridiplantae; Streptophyta; Magnoliopsida; Malpighiales; Euphorbiaceae. The record is from RNAcentral.
AAGGAAACUUGUUCGUUCUUUGCCAACUCAUUUUGUCCUUGGGAGAAACAGAAAACUGCAAGGCUUGGCAGCAGCACUCGUAAAGUUGUGGGAGAAAUGUCAUAUAGCAAAGAUAGCUUUGAAGUGGGGAAUUCCAAAUGCUAGCAAUGAGCUAAUGGCAAAUGAGUUAAAGUAUCUUACAGGAGGAGUCCUUUUAUUGCGGAAUAAGUUCUUUAUAAUCCUAUACAGAGGCAAGGAUUUUCUUCCUUCUCAAGUUGCAAAACUUGUAGCUGAAAGGGAGGUGGAGCUCACAAGAUGUCAG